GGGUGCUUAGCUCAGUUGGGAGAGCAUCGCCCUUACAAGGCGAGGGGCGGGGGUUCAAGUCCCUCAGCACCCACCA
RNAcentral lists this transfer RNA (76 nucleotides) under Candidatus Competibacteraceae bacterium. Its description in RNAcentral is "tRNA-Val". It matches the Rfam family "tRNA". Rfam says of the family: Transfer RNA (tRNA) molecules are approximately 80 nucleotides in length. Their secondary structure includes four short double-helical elements and three loops (D, anti-codon, and T loops). Lineage: Bacteria; Pseudomonadati; Pseudomonadota; Gammaproteobacteria; Candidatus Competibacteraceae. RNAcentral also lists the same sequence under 1 other name. The record is from RNAcentral.